ACUGUUUCGCAUGAGACGGUUCCUCAAAAAACAUAAUAUCGUGUAUGAGCUAAACUAAAACUUAGGGUUUUACAUGGUUUUAUGUUUUCCAGUGGAUCUGGUUAGAGCUAUGUCACGCUAAAUGGUGUUCUUUGCUUUUUUUCUUACAAUACCUUUCAAUAGAACACUGUUUCGCAUGAGACGGUUCCUCAAAAAACAUAAUAUCGUGUAUGAGCUAAACUAAAACUUAGGUUUUAUAUGGUUUUAUGUUUUCCAGUGGAUCUGGUUAGAGCUAUGUCACGCUAAAUGGUGUUUUUUGCAUUUCUUCUUACAAUACCUUUCAAUAGAACACUGUUUCGCAUGAGACGGUUCCUCAAAAAACAUAAUAUCGUGUAUGAGCUAAACAAAAACUUAGGGUUUUACAUGGUUUUAUGUUUUCCAGUGGAUCUGGUUAGAGCUAUGUCACGUUAAAUGGUGUUUUUGCAUUUCUUUUUACAAUACCUUUCAAUAGAACACUGUUUCGCAUGAGACGGUUCCUCAAAAAACAUAAUAUCGUGUAUGAGCUAAACUAAAACUUAGGGUUUUACAUGGUUUUAUGUUUUCCAGUGGAUCUGGUUAGAGCUAUGUCACGCUAAAUGGUGUUCUUUGCUUUUUUUCUUACAAUACCUUUCAAUA
Molecule: long non-coding RNA, 654 nt
Organism: Pectinophora gossypiella (pink bollworm)
Lineage: Eukaryota; Metazoa; Arthropoda; Insecta; Lepidoptera; Gelechiidae
Exons: 3
Source: RefSeq, a predicted model, not a curated record